RNAcentral lists this unclassified non-coding RNA (374 nucleotides) under soil metagenome. Its description in RNAcentral is "partial contains internal transcribed spacer 2 and large subunit ribosomal RNA". The stretch from base 3 to 120 matches the Rfam family "5.8S ribosomal RNA", at positions 37 to 154 of the family's 154-position model. The record is from RNAcentral.
GCUGAAGAACGUAGCGAAAUGCGAUAAUUAAUGUGAAUUGCAGAAUUCCGUGAAUCAUCGAGUCUUUGAACGCACAUUGCGCCUCAUGGCAUUCCGUGAGGCAUGCCCAUCUCAGCGUUAGAAAAUAUUCUCAAAUUUUAGUUUUGUGCUAAAAUUUGGAUCAUGUCAAGGAAGCUAUUACUAUUAUUGUGAUCGCUCUUUGGAAAUUGAUAGGUCUUUGAGUUGCUACUCAUAGAACGUGAUGAAUCUUUCUUCGUUCUAUUGUAAUUCACUCUGGUAGUCCUAAAACUUGUAUGCCUGUGGCAUAUCUUGUAAUUUGACCUGAGAUUGGGUAGGGAUACCCGCUGAACUUAAGCAUAUCAAUAAGCGGAGGA